This 465-nucleotide ribosomal RNA is filed under the name uncultured bacterium. RNAcentral's name for it is "partial 16S ribosomal RNA". It matches the Rfam family "Bacterial small subunit ribosomal RNA", at positions 339 to 795 of the family's 1533-position model. The record is from RNAcentral.
CUACGGGGGGCAGCAGUGGGGAAUAUUGGACAAUGGGGGAAACCCUGAUCCAGCAAUGCCGCGUGUGUGAAGAAGGCCUGCGGGUUGUAAAGCACUUUCGGUUGGGAGGACUGCUUCUAGCACUAAUAUUGUUGGAAGUUGACGUUACCUUCAGAAGAAGCACCGGCUAACUCCGUGCCAGCAGCCGCGGUAAUACGGAGGGUGCAAGCGUUAAUCGGAAUUACUGGGCGUAAAGCGCGCGUAGGCGGCUAGAUAAGUCGGGUGUGAAAGCCCCGGGCUUAACCUGGGAACUGCAUCCGAUACUGUCUAGCUUGAGUACAGGAGAGGGGAGUGGAAUUCCACAUGUAGCGGUGAAAUGCGUAGAUAUGUGGAGGAACACCAAUGGCGAAGGCAGCUCUCUGGCCUGAUACUGACGCUGAGGUGCGAAAGCGUGGGGAGCAAACAGGGUUAGAUACCCCUGUAGUC